UACAGAGGGGGCGAGCGUUGUUCGGAAUUACUGGGCGUAAAGGGCGCGUAGGCGGCCCGCUAAGUCGAACGUGAAAUCCCCGGGCUCAACCCGGGAACUGCGUCCGAUACUGGAAGGCUUGAAUCCGGGAGAGGGAUGCGGAAUUCCAGGUGUAGCGGUGAAAUGCGUAGAUAUCUGGAGGAACACCGGUGGCGAAGGCGGCAUCCUGGACCGGCAUUGACGCUGAGGCGCGAAAGCCAGGGGAGCAAAGCGGG
This 254-nucleotide ribosomal RNA is filed under the name uncultured bacterium. RNAcentral's name for it is "partial 16S ribosomal RNA". It matches the Rfam family "Bacterial small subunit ribosomal RNA", at positions 524 to 777 of the family's 1533-position model. The record is from RNAcentral.